UAACCCGGGGAUCCUCUAGAGAUUAGCUCACUAUACAUAAUGAGGUUUAUUCCCGAAUAAAAGCAGUUUACGACCCAGAGGGCUGUCUUCCUGCACGCGGCAUGGCUGGUUCAGAGUUGCCUCCAUUGACCAAUAUUCCUUACUGCUGCCUCCCGUAGU
Molecule: ribosomal RNA, 159 nt
Filed under: uncultured bacterium
Lineage: Bacteria
Description: partial 16S ribosomal RNA
Source: RNAcentral